This 700-nucleotide ribosomal RNA is filed under the name uncultured Caulobacteraceae bacterium. RNAcentral describes it as "bacterial SSU rRNA". It matches the Rfam family "Bacterial small subunit ribosomal RNA", at positions 28 to 776 of the family's 1533-position model. The record is from RNAcentral. Lineage: Bacteria; Pseudomonadati; Pseudomonadota; Alphaproteobacteria; Caulobacterales; Caulobacteraceae.
AUUGAACGCUGGCGGCAGGCUUAACACAUGCAAGUCGAACGGUCCUUCGGGAUAGUGGCGGACGGGUGAGUAACACGUGGGAACGUACCCUUAGGUUCGGAACAACACAGGGAGACUUGUGCUAAUACCGGAUAAGCCCUUCGGGGGAAAGAUUUAUCGCCUUUGGAGCGGCCCGCGUCUGAUUAGCUUGUUGGUGAGGUAAUGGCUCACCAAGGCUACGAUCAGUAGCUGGUCUGAGAGGAUGGCCAGCCACACUGGGACUGAGACACGGCCCAGACUCCUACGGGAGGCAGCAGUGGGGAAUCUUGCGCAAUGGGCGAAAGCCUGACGCAGCCAUGCCGCGUGGAUGAUGAAGGUCUUAGGAUUGUAAAAUCCUUUCACCGGGGACGAUAAUGACGGUACCCGGAGAAGAAGCCCCGGCUAACUUCGUGCCAGCAGCCGCGGUAAUACGAAGGGGGCUAGCGUUGCUCGGAAUUACUGGGCGUAAAGGGCGCGUAGGCGGACAGUUAAGUUGGGGGUGAAAGCCCGGGGCUCAACCUCGGAAAUGCCUUCAAUACUGGCUGUCUUGAGUACGGGAGAGGUGAGUGGAACUCCGAGUGUAGAGGUGAAAUUCGUAGAUAUUCGGAAGAACACCAGUGGCGAAGGCGACUCACUGGCCCGUUACUGACGCUGAGGCGCGAAAGCGUGGGGAGCAAACAGG